Molecule: ribosomal RNA, 2901 nt
Filed under: Escherichia coli
Lineage: Bacteria; Pseudomonadati; Pseudomonadota; Gammaproteobacteria; Enterobacterales; Enterobacteriaceae
Description: 23S ribosomal RNA
Rfam family: Bacterial large subunit ribosomal RNA
Source: RNAcentral
UUAAGCGACUAAGCGUACACGGUGGAUGCCCUGGCAGUCAGAGGCGAUGAAGGACGUGCUAAUCUGCGAUAAGCGUCGGUAAGGUGAUAUGAACCGUUAUAACCGGCGAUUUCCGAAUGGGGAAACCCAGUGUGAUUCGUCACACUAUCAUUAACUGAAUCCAUAGGUUAAUGAGGCGAACCGGGGGAACUGAAACAUCUAAGUACCCCGAGGAAAAGAAAUCAACCGAGAUUCCCCCAGUAGCGGCGAGCGAACGGGGAGCAGCCCAGAGCCUGAAUCAGUGUGUGUGUUAGUGGAAGCGUCUGGAAAGGCGUGCGAUACAGGGUGACAGCCCCGUACACAAAAAUGCACAUGCUGUGAGCUCGAUGAGUAGGGCGGGACACGUGGUAUCCUGUCUGAAUAUGGGGGGACCAUCCUCCAAGGCUAAAUACUCCUGACUGACCGAUAGUGAACCAGUACCGUGAGGGAAAGGCGAAAAGAACCCCGGCGAGGGGAGUGAAAAAGAACCUGAAACCGUGUACGUACAAGCAGUGGGAGCACGCUUAGGCGUGUGACUGCGUACCUUUUGUAUAAUGGGUCAGCGACUUAUAUUCUGUAGCAAGGUUAACCGAAUAGGGGAGCCGAAGGGAAACCGAGUCUUAACUGGGCGUUAAGUUGCAGGGUAUAGACCCGAAACCCGGUGAUCUAGCCAUGGGCAGGUUGAAGGUUGGGUAACACUAACUGGAGGACCGAACCGACUAAUGUUGAAAAAUUAGCGGAUGACUUGUGGCUGGGGGUGAAAGGCCAAUCAAACCGGGAGAUAGCUGGUUCUCCCCGAAAGCUAUUUAGGUAGCGCCUCGUGAAUUCAUCUCCGGGGGUAGAGCACUGUUUCGGCAAGGGGGUCAUCCCGACUUACCAACCCGAUGCAAACUGCGAAUACCGGAGAAUGUUAUCACGGGAGACACACGGCGGGUGCUAACGUCCGUCGUGAAGAGGGAAACAACCCAGACCGCCAGCUAAGGUCCCAAAGUCAUGGUUAAGUGGGAAACGAUGUGGGAAGGCCCAGACAGCCAGGAUGUUGGCUUAGAAGCAGCCAUCAUUUAAAGAAAGCGUAAUAGCUCACUGGUCGAGUCGGCCUGCGCGGAAGAUGUAACGGGGCUAAACCAUGCACCGAAGCUGCGGCAGCGACGCUGAUGCGUUGUUGGGUAGGGGAGCGUUCUGUAAGCCUGCGAAGGUGUGCUGUGAGGCAUGCUGGAGGUAUCAGAAGUGCGAAUGCUGACAUAAGUAACGAUAAAGCGGGUGAAAAGCCCGCUCGCCGGAAGACCAAGGGUUCCUGUCCAACGUUAAUCGGGGCAGGGUGAGUCGACCCCUAAGGCGAGGCCGAAAGGCGUAGUCGAUGGGAAACAGGUUAAUAUUCCUGUACUUGGUGUUACUGCGAAGGGGGGACGGAGAAGGCUAUGUUGGCCGGGCGACGGUUGUCCCGGUUUAAGCGUGUAGGCUGGUUUUCCAGGCAAAUCCGGAAAAUCAAGGCUGAGGCGUGAUGACGAGGCACUACGGUGCUGAAGCAACAAAUGCCCUGCUUCCAGGAAAAGCCUCUAAGCAUCAGGUAACAUCAAAUCGUACCCCAAACCGACACAGGUGGUCAGGUAGAGAAUACCAAGGCGCUUGAGAGAACUCGGGUGAAGGAACUAGGCAAAAUGGUGCCGUAACUUCGGGAGAAGGCACGCUGAUAUGUAGGUGAAGCGACUUGCUCGUGGAGCUGAAAUCAGUCGAAGAUACCAGCUGGCUGCAACUGUUUAUUAAAAACACAGCACUGUGCAAACACGAAAGUGGACGUAUACGGUGUGACGCCUGCCCGGUGCCGGAAGGUUAAUUGAUGGGGUCAGCGCAAGCGAAGCUCUUGAUCGAAGCCCCGGUAAACGGCGGCCGUAACUAUAACGGUCCUAAGGUAGCGAAAUUCCUUGUCGGGUAAGUUCCGACCUGCACGAAUGGCGUAAUGAUGGCCAGGCUGUCUCCACCCGAGACUCAGUGAAAUUGAACUCGCUGUGAAGAUGCAGUGUACCCGCGGCAAGACGGAAAGACCCCGUGAACCUUUACUAUAGCUUGACACUGAACAUUGAGCCUUGAUGUGUAGGAUAGGUGGGAGGCUUUGAAGUGUGGACGCCAGUCUGCAUGGAGCCGACCUUGAAAUACCACCCUUUAAUGUUUGAUGUUCUAACGUGGACCCGUGAUCCGGGUUGCGGACAGUGUCUGGUGGGUAGUUUGACUGGGGCGGUCUCCUCCUAAAGAGUAACGGAGGAGCACGAAGGUUGGCUAAUCCUGGUCGGACAUCAGGAGGUUAGUGCAAUGGCAUAAGCCAGCUUGACUGCGAGCGUGACGGCGCGAGCAGGUGCGAAAGCAGGUCAUAGUGAUCCGGUGGUUCUGAAUGGAAGGGCCAUCGCUCAACGGAUAAAAGGUACUCCGGGGAUAACAGGCUGAUACCGCCCAAGAGUUCAUAUCGACGGCGGUGUUUGGCACCUCGAUGUCGGCUCAUCACAUCCUGGGGCUGAAGUAGGUCCCAAGGGUAUGGCUGUUCGCCAUUUAAAGUGGUACGCGAGCUGGGUUUAGAACGUCGUGAGACAGUUCGGUCCCUAUCUGCCGUGGGCGCUGGAGAACUGAGGGGGGCUGCUCCUAGUACGAGAGGACCGGAGUGGACGCAUCACUGGUGUUCGGGUUGUCAUGCCAAUGGCACUGCCCGGUAGCUAAAUGCGGAAGAGAUAAGUGCUGAAAGCAUCUAAGCACGAAACUUGCCCCGAGAUGAGUUCUCCCUGACUCCUUGAGAGUCCUGAAGGAACGUUGAAGACGACGACGUUGAUAGGCCGGGUGUGUAAGCGCAGCGAUGCGUUGAGCUAACCGGUACUAAUGAACCGUGAGGCUUAACCU